RNAcentral lists this unclassified non-coding RNA (372 nucleotides) under soil metagenome. Its description in RNAcentral is "partial contains 5.8S ribosomal RNA, internal transcribed spacer 2, and large subunit ribosomal RNA". The stretch from base 1 to 120 matches the Rfam family "5.8S ribosomal RNA", at positions 35 to 154 of the family's 154-position model. The record is from RNAcentral.
GAUGAAGAACGUAGCGAAAUGCGAUAAGUAAUGUGAAUUGCAGAAUUCAGUGAAUCAUCGAAUCUUUGAACGCACAUUGCGCCCGGCAGCAAUCUGCCGGGCAUGCCUGUCCGAGCGUCAUUUCUUCCCUCGAGCGCGGCUAGCCCUACGGGGCCUGCCGUCGCCCGGUGUUGGGGCUCUACGGGUGGGGCUCGUCCCCCCCGCAGUCCCCGAAAUGUAAUGGCGGUCCAGCCGCGGCGCCCCCUGCGUAGUAGAUCCUACAUCUCGCAUCGGGUCCCGGCGAAGGCCAGCCGUCGAACCUUUUAUUUCAUGGUUUGACCUCGGAUCAGGUAGGGUUACCCGCUGAACUUAAGCAUAUCAAUAAGCGGAGGA